RNAcentral lists this ribosomal RNA (257 nucleotides) under uncultured archaeon. Its description in RNAcentral is "partial 16S ribosomal RNA". It matches the Rfam family "Bacterial small subunit ribosomal RNA", at positions 521 to 776 of the family's 1533-position model. The record is from RNAcentral.
UAAAACGUAGGAGGCAAGCGUUAUCCGGAUUUACUGGGCGUAAAGCGCGUGCAGGCGGUGUACCAAGUCGUGUGUGAAAGCUCCCAGGCUUAACCGGGAGAGGCCAUGCGAGACUGGUAGACUAGAGGCGAGGAGAGGCAAGUGGAAUUCCGGGUGUAGUGGUGAAAUGCGUAGAGAUCCGGAGGAACUCCAGUGGCGAAGGCGGCUUGCUGGCCUCGACCUGACGCUCAGACGCGACAGCAUGGGGAGCGAACGGG